CCUACGGGAGGCAGCAGUAAGGAAUAUUGGACAAUGCUCGCAAGAGUGAUCCAGCCAUGCCGCGUGCAGGAAGAAUGCCCUAUGGGUAGUAAACUGCUUUUGAACUAGAGAAAACCCCAGUACGUGUACUGGGCUGAUAGUAUAGUUAGAAUAAGCAUCGGCUAACUUCGUGCCAGCAGCCGCGGUAAGACGAAGGAUGCAAGCGUUAUCCGGAUUCAUUGGGUUUAAACGGGAGCGUAGGUGGACUUAUAAGUCAGUGGUGAAAUCUCCGAGCUUAACUCGGAAAUUGCCAUUGAUACUGUAGGUCUUGAGUACAGUUGCUGUGGGCGGAAUAUGACAUGUAGUGGUGAAAUACAUAGAGAUGUCAUAGAACACCGAUUGCGAAGGCAGCUCACAAAGCUGUAACUGACACUGAGGCUCGAAAGUGCGGGGAUCAAACAGGAUUAGAUACCCUGGUAGUCCGCACCGUAACGAUGAUUACUCGCUGCUAGGGGGUCAACCUUUAGUGGCUUAGCGAAAGCGAUAGAAUCCACCUGGGGAGUCGCGGCAACGGUGAAACUCAAAUAGAGUUAGAGNGNGAGAGNGCGACGGCGACGACGAGGGAGAGG
RNAcentral lists this ribosomal RNA (608 nucleotides) under uncultured bacterium. Its description in RNAcentral is "bacterial SSU rRNA". It matches the Rfam family "Bacterial small subunit ribosomal RNA", at positions 338 to 1413 of the family's 1533-position model. The record is from RNAcentral.